CAGCAGCCGCGGUAAUACGAAGGGUGCAAGCGUUACUCGGAAUUACUGGGCGUAAAGCGUGCGUAGGUGGUGGUUUAAGUCCGUUGUGAAAGCCCUGGGCUUAACCUGGGAAUUGCAGUGGAUACUGGAUCACUAGAGUGUGGUAGAGGAUAGUGGAAUUUCCGGUGUAGCAGUGAAAUGCGUUGAGAUCGGAAAGAACACCAACGGCGAAAGCACUCUGCUGGGCCGACACUGACACUGAGAGACGAAAGCUAGGGGAGCAAAUGGGAUUAGAUACCCCGGUAGUCCCUGUCUCUUAUAC
Molecule: ribosomal RNA, 301 nt
Filed under: uncultured bacterium
Lineage: Bacteria
Description: partial 16S ribosomal RNA
Rfam family: Bacterial small subunit ribosomal RNA
Source: RNAcentral